CUAAUAACUUAUGACUAAAACUCAAUAAAAACUUAGCCUGACACUUCACUCAAAACAAGAGUA
Molecule: ribosomal RNA, 63 nt
Filed under: Cochranella erminea
Lineage: Eukaryota; Metazoa; Chordata; Amphibia; Anura; Centrolenidae
Description: partial 16S ribosomal RNA
Source: RNAcentral